This 22-nucleotide microRNA is filed under the name Bos taurus (domestic cattle). Its description in RNAcentral is "bta-miR-2346". The record is from miRBase by way of RNAcentral. Lineage: Eukaryota; Metazoa; Chordata; Mammalia; Artiodactyla; Bovidae.
ACUGAUGUGAAGGUGGUUUGGC